UGCGGUGUCGACUAGCUGGCCAAGGUCAUGGGUCUCAUAAAUCCAAACUCCCACAAGGAGUUCGAUGGUUCAAAUCCAUCCACCGCUA
This 88-nucleotide transfer RNA is filed under the name Candidatus Omnitrophota bacterium. RNAcentral describes it as "tRNA-Met". It matches the Rfam family "tRNA". From Rfam's summary of the family: Transfer RNA (tRNA) molecules are approximately 80 nucleotides in length. Their secondary structure includes four short double-helical elements and three loops (D, anti-codon, and T loops). Lineage: Bacteria; Pseudomonadati; Candidatus Omnitrophota. The record is from RNAcentral.